Molecule: ribosomal RNA, 253 nt
Filed under: uncultured bacterium
Lineage: Bacteria
Description: partial 16S ribosomal RNA
Rfam family: Bacterial small subunit ribosomal RNA
Source: RNAcentral
UACGGGGGGGGCAAGCGUUGUUCGGAAUUACUGGGCGUAAAGGGCUCGUAGGCGGCCAACUAAGUCAGACGUGAAAUCCCUCGGCUUAACCGGGGAACUGCAUCUGAUACUGGAUGGCUUGAGUUCGGGAGAGGGAUGCGGAAUUCCAGGUGUAGCGGUGAAAUGCGUAGAUAUCUGGAGGAACACCGGUGGCGAAGGCGGCAUUCUGGACCGACAUUGACGCUGAGGCGCGAAAGCCAGGGGAGCAAACGGG